CCUACGGGAGGCAGCAGUGGGGAAUAUUGGGCAAUGGAGGAAACUCUGACCCAGCGACGCCGCGUGCGGGAUGAAGGCCUUCGGGUUGUAAACCGCUUUCAGUAGGGAAGAAGCGAAAGUGACGGUACCUACAGAAGAAGCACCGGCUAACUAUGUGCCAGCAGCCGCGGUAAUACAUAGGGUGCAAGCGUUGUCCGGAAUUAUUGGGCGUAAAGAGCUCGUAGGUGGUUCGUCACGUCGGAUGUGAAAAUCUGGGGCUCAACCCCAGACCUGCAUUCGAUACGGGCGAUCUAGAGUGUGGUAGGGGAGACUGGAAUUCCUGGUGUAGCGGUGGAAUGCGCAGAUAUCAGGAGGAACACCAAUGGCGAAGGCAGGUCUCUGGGCCAUUACUGACACUGAGGAGCGAAAGCGUGGGGAGCGAACAGGAUUAGAUACCCUGGUAGUCCACGCCGUAAACGGUGGGCACUAGUUGUGGGAACCUUCCACGGUUUCUGCGACGCAGCUAACGCAUUAAGUGCCCCGCCUGGGGAGUACGAUCGCAAGNUUAAAACUCAAAGGAAUUGACGG
This 567-nucleotide ribosomal RNA is filed under the name uncultured bacterium. RNAcentral's name for it is "bacterial SSU rRNA". It matches the Rfam family "Bacterial small subunit ribosomal RNA", at positions 338 to 916 of the family's 1533-position model. The record is from RNAcentral.